AUACGUAGGUGACAAGCGUUAUCCGGAUUUACUGGGCGUAAAGGGCGUGUAGGCGGUCUUGCAAGUCAGAAGUGAAAUUCCUGAGCUCAACUCGGGCGCUGCUUCUGAAACUGCAGGACUUGAGUGCUGGAGGGGAUAGCGGAAUUCCUAGUGGAGCGGUAAAAUGCGCAGAUAUUAGGAGGAACACCAGUGGCGAAGGCGGCUUGCUGGACGACAACUGACGCUGAGGCGCGAAAGCGUGGGGAGCAAACAGGAUUAGAUACCCUGGUAGUCCACGCCCUAAACGAUGAAUACUAGGUGUGGGGGGACUGACCCCUUCCGCGCCGGAGUAAACACAAUAAGUAAUCCACCUGGGGAGUACGGCCGCAAGGUUGAAACUCAAAUGAAUUGGCGGGG
This 396-nucleotide ribosomal RNA is filed under the name uncultured bacterium. RNAcentral's name for it is "partial 16S ribosomal RNA". It matches the Rfam family "Bacterial small subunit ribosomal RNA", at positions 523 to 918 of the family's 1533-position model. The record is from RNAcentral.